AUGGCCUCGUCCAGUCGGUUGUCUUGGUGGCACGCUGUCGAUGAAACUAGUCCAUGCUGCUUCGGGCACUGGCUCCUGCGAAGAACACCUCAUCGUGUGAAGCACUUGCCGCGCACUGUCCUGCCGGGCGGAGAGAACAGCGCUCCGCGCGCCUCUAUCGCUGGGCUGCAGACCUCGCCGGGCAAGUCUAAGAGGAACAUCUACUUCAGGGUAAGAUCGGCGCCAGCCAUGUCAUGUUGGGAUAAGUUCGGUGGAGGGUCACGUAAGAAGCUUGUUGAGGACAGUCGUUGGACAGAAGUAGACAUAGCCAACAGUUACGCCCUGUUCAUGGGCUACCUGUCCAUGGCCGUCAAAGGUCUUGGUUUCCUGGUGCUUACUUGGACCACCGUCGUUCUUCUUGGCGGUUUCAUUGGCGACCUGCACAACAAUGAUUUUUGGUGUCUUGCAUUCAUUACCCUUGCGCAGACGGCUGGGAUCUUCGAUGUGUUUCUGACUGAAAAGCUGAGCUAUAUUGGAGAUGCAUUUUCUGGCAUCGCAUAUGUUGCAUACGCCGGAAUGUCGUACAACAUAUGGCGAACUGUUCAUGCUCUGGUCUUUGUCAUUUUGUUGUGCCCUCUGGUGGCUGUCUACAUGGGUGGGUUGGUAGUUUCGGCCGUGCUUUCGGUGUGGCGUCUUAUACAACAAGAUUACCAUGCUGACGGAGUCAGAAACCUGAAGAAGGCGCUGGUCGUCUUGUAUUCCCUUGUCCUGCUCCAGGGUGUGAUUUUCUGCUACAAGAUCAUCAAUGGUUGGGCAAAGGGGUCUAUAGUGAAUGCAGUAGUUGACCAAAGAGGCUUUGAUAAGGAUUUUCGUGAUGGGAUAUCGGAUUACAUACGUGAAACAAUGAUCGGAUGUGAAAAGGACCCAUCUUCCGUUAAAGGAAGGAACCUCAUCACAUAUGCUGUGGGCCUGAUGGAGUCUAAGUCGCCUGACGACUACAUUUCCGGGGUAAGGAUCCUGGACGCUUUCGCCAAAAAACUGGAGGAAGCAGUGAAAGAGGUCAAUGGGGUAGACGACCCACACCAAUACACAGGGGAGAAUAUACUCAAGAAACAUCUGAUAAUGUCUGCACCCUCUCCUGAUAUAGUCCAGAAGCUACUGCAGACGUUGGGCCACAUAAGCAUAUAUGACAGAGAGACGAGGGGGCAUGCCGCAAGGGUAGUGGCGAGCAUUGCUCGCGACAUCCAUUUGGAGAAAUAUCCAAAGGCAAUUGGCUACAUAUCUUCCCUCCUUGACACAUACGAAGAAUACAGUACUCUCCAGCCAUAUAGGGGAGACUGGCUAUACGAGACAUAUGAACAAGAUUUCAAGCAAAUAUCCUUGCCGGUGAACCAAGAUGACAUCGUUGAGCAAGGGGACUAUGAUGUUGGCCUUGCGAAAACCUGCAAGAAGCUGCUGGAGGUUGAGAGAAGUGACCAUGACCUUGUGCAGGCGUACAAAAGGCUGGUGGAGCAAGGCUUUCGCAUCCUUCGGAAGCUCGCAGCCAACAAUGACAACUGCAGAGUCAUUUUCAGCACCCCAUGUCUGCUGCCAAAGAUUAUGGCGCCUGUGACCUCCGACCUACUCCACCACCGCAAUGAGGAUGGCCGCAUGAAGCACAUUGACAAUGCUGCAUGUUACAGCAUAGUAGAAGGUUCAAUGAAGGUGAUUGCCCAGCUCACGGCUGCUACAGGGCAGAUAGGCACCAAGCUGCGUGAUGAAAUCUCAUGCAGUAUGGGAUUGAUCACAGCCAUGAGGAUGAUUCUCGAGUGUAAAGAAUGCAAUGAAAUGCUGCAGAAAAUAGCUAUUUGGAUUCUCACGCACGUACACCAGGAUGAAAAUUCCAGUCCAGAGCAUGAAGGGACACAAGAAUUCAUUACGAUGUUGGUUGACAUCAUGACCCAUGAUAAAAAGUACAAGGAGGCUAGAAGGGUGGUAGCAGCUAAAGCGCUGGUGGCUCUAUCAUCCGAAACCAGUAGUGCCAGGAUUAUCAUUAAGUCAAAUAACAAUGUUAUUCACAGUCUGACUAGACUGAUUGUUGAAAAACAAAGAUGCUCACAAAUGGCAGCUGAAAUCCUGGAAAAUGUAUGCAUUCAUUGCAACGGUGAUGUUCAAAGCCUCAAAACGCUGAAGGAAGCUAUGCCCAUUGCGGUUCCAAAGCUGCUUGAAGAAAUACUUUUCUGGCCAACAGAAGAAAGACAUAUAGAAGGAACAGAAGUUAAUCGGCUGAUACCAGAACCCGACGUAGAAAACCAAUGUGAUGAUUCCCCAGAUAAUGGCCAGGCAAACAACAACUCGUUGUCCGCUCAGCAGCAAGGGUACAGCUCGUUUCGCAUGUUAUCUCGUUGCAUCACAAUAUGGGGUGCGUUGAUAAGUGCAGAUCAGGACUUGACAGAUCUAUUUACGGAAAUCCCCCCUGGAGGCGGUGGAAUUAGCUUCGUGAUGAAGCUCAAAGAGAUCGUUGAAAAACAUGAGCUCCCCAGACCCGUCUGCCUGAGAAUAAGGAAGCUUGUCUGUAAGAUGGUCAUAUCUAUGAUGAAUCCCAAAGGCAGUUAUGUCAAUGAUGGGCUGACGAGCUUGAUGGCUGCACUGUCCAGUGCUUCAGAUGACAUGUCUAUUCUUGAUGGCUACAUGGUUUUUGGACCAAGGCCUUUUAGAAGUCUUGCUUCCCUCGUGGAAGAAGCGCAGGUGCUUGUGGACAGAAACAAAGAGCUUUUCCAGAGCCAAACCCAUGCUUCAAGCUAG
Molecule: ribosomal RNA, 2763 nt
Filed under: Triticum aestivum (bread wheat)
Lineage: Eukaryota; Viridiplantae; Streptophyta; Magnoliopsida; Poales; Poaceae
Description: partial small subunit ribosomal RNA
Source: RNAcentral